RNAcentral lists this ribosomal RNA (446 nucleotides) under Loma morhua. Its description in RNAcentral is "SSU rRNA". It matches the Rfam family "Microsporidia small subunit ribosomal RNA", at positions 44 to 442 of the family's 1311-position model. Lineage: Eukaryota; Fungi; Microsporidia; Glugeidae. The record is from RNAcentral.
UAAGCCAUGCAUGUGGAAGCGAAGCCUUUUAAGGUGGAGCGGCGUACGGCUCAGUAACGGGCGAUCAAUUUGAUCUGCCUAUACGGACAUCCUCUGUAAACGGAGGGUAAAACGUAAGGGGGGCUUCCUAGCGGAAGUUCGCCAAACCUGUAAAGGUGAGGCAGAGUAAGAAGCCAUCCCAUCAGUUAUUAAGUAGGGUAAGGGCCUACUUAGACGAAGACGGGUACGGGGAAUUAUCGUUUGAUUCCGCAGAGGGAGCCUGAGAGACGGCUACCGGGUCCAAGGACAACAGCAGGCGCGAAAAUUACCGCAGCCUGCGAUCAGGGCGGUAGUAAGGAGACGUGAUGACGAAGUGCUGAUAAAAGCUGCACUAGUGACAGGAGGAAAAGACUGGUGCCAGCACCCGCGGUAAUACCAGCUCCUGGAGUGUCUAUGAUGAUUGCUGC